UACAGAGGUCUCAAGCGUUGUUCGGAUUCAUUGGGCGUAAAGGGUGCGUAGGUGGCGGGGCAAGUUUGGUGUGAAAUCCCGGGGCUCAACCCCGGAACUGCACUGAAUACUGCCUUGCUUGAGCACUGGAGAGGGAACUGGAAUUUACGGUGUAGCAGUGAAAUGCGUAGAUAUCGUAAGGAAGACCAGUGGCGAAGGCGAGUUCCUGGACAGUUGCUGACACUGAGGCACGAAGGCUAGGGGAGCAAACAGG
RNAcentral lists this ribosomal RNA (253 nucleotides) under uncultured bacterium. RNAcentral describes it as "partial 16S ribosomal RNA". It matches the Rfam family "Bacterial small subunit ribosomal RNA", at positions 524 to 776 of the family's 1533-position model. The record is from RNAcentral.